GAUGAACGCUAGCUACAGGCUUAACACAUGCAAGUCGAGGGGAAACGACAUCGAAAGCUUGCUUUUGAUGGGCGUCGACCGGCGCACGGGUGAGUAACGCGUAUCCAACCUGCCCAUCACUUGGGGAUAACCUUGCGAAAGUAAGGCUAAUACCCAAUGAUAUCUCUAGAAGACAUCUGAAAGAGAUUAAAGAUUUAUCGGUGAUGGAUGGGGAUGCGUCUGAUUAGCUUGUUGGCGGGGUAACGGCCCACCAAGGCAACGAUCAGUAGGGGUUCUGAGAGGAAGGUCCCCCACAUUGGAACUGAGACACGGUCCAAGCUCCUACGGGAGGCAGCAGUGAGGAAUAUUGGUCAAUGGGCGAGAGCCUGAACCAGCCAAGUAGCGUGCAGGAAGACGGCCCUAUGGGUUGUAAACUGCUUUUAUAAGGGAAUAAAGUGAGAGUCGUGACUCUUUUUGUAUGUACCUUAUGAAUAAGGACCGGCUAAUUCCGUG
This 492-nucleotide ribosomal RNA is filed under the name uncultured bacterium. RNAcentral's name for it is "partial 16S ribosomal RNA". It matches the Rfam family "Bacterial small subunit ribosomal RNA", at positions 28 to 507 of the family's 1533-position model. The record is from RNAcentral.